This 477-nucleotide ribosomal RNA is filed under the name uncultured bacterium. RNAcentral's name for it is "bacterial SSU rRNA". It matches the Rfam family "Bacterial small subunit ribosomal RNA", at positions 8 to 502 of the family's 1533-position model. The record is from RNAcentral.
AGAGUUUGAUCCUGGCUCAGAUUGAACGCUGGCGGCAUGCCUAACACAUGCAAGUCGUACGGAAACGAUGGGAGCUUGCUCCCAGGCGUCGAGUGGCGGACGGGUGAGUAAUACUUAGGAAUCUGCCCAGUAGUGGGGGACAACUCGAGGAAACUCGAGCUAAUACCGCAUACGACCUACGGGUGAAAGCAGGGGAUCUUCGGACCUUGCGCUAUUGGAUGAGCCUAAGUCGGAUUAGCUUGUUGGUGAGGUAAAGGCUCACCAAGGCGACGAUCCGUAGCUGGUCUGAGAGGACGAUCAGCCACACUGGGACUGAGACACGGCCCAGACUCCUACGGGAGGCAGCAGUGGGGAAUAUUGGACAAUGGGGGAAACCCUGAUCCAGCAAUGCCGCGUGAGUGAAGAAGGCCUUAGGGUUGUAAAACUCUUUCGCCGGUGAAGAUGAUGACUGUAACCGGUAAAGAAGCCCCGCUAACU